GACGUAGGGGGCAAGCGUUGUCCGGAUUUAUUGGGCGUAAAGAGCGUGUAGGCGGCCAUACAGGUCAGCUGUGAAAACUCGAGGCUCAACCUCGAGACGUCGGUUGAAACCGUAUGGCUAGAGUCCGGAAGAGGAGAGUGGAAUUCCCGGUGUAGCGGUGAAAUGCGCAGAUAUCGGGAAGAACACCCGUGGCGAAGGCGGCUCUCUGGGCCGAUACUGACGCUGAGGAGCGAAAGCAUGGGUAGCGAACAGG
RNAcentral lists this ribosomal RNA (253 nucleotides) under uncultured bacterium. RNAcentral's name for it is "partial 16S ribosomal RNA". It matches the Rfam family "Bacterial small subunit ribosomal RNA", at positions 524 to 776 of the family's 1533-position model. The record is from RNAcentral.